RNAcentral lists this ribosomal RNA (282 nucleotides) under Triticum aestivum (bread wheat). RNAcentral's name for it is "partial small subunit ribosomal RNA". Lineage: Eukaryota; Viridiplantae; Streptophyta; Magnoliopsida; Poales; Poaceae. The record is from RNAcentral.
AUGGGAAAAUAUUGGUGGAGCAACUCCAUCGAUAGGCGAUCCUUGCAUUGGCUAUCAUGUGAGAAACUGUCAGUACCAAAGGUUCAGGGAGGCAUGGGUUUUAGAGAGCUCGAGAAAUUCAAUCUGGCGCUUCUCGGGAAGCAUGGCUGGCGGCUAAUAACCCACCCCAACUCCCUUUGCUCUUGUGUCCUCAAGGGGAAAUAUUUCCCACACUGUGACUUCAUGCAGGCCAAUGCCCCAUCCUCCUCAUCAGCGACAUGGAAAGCUAUUAUUGCGGGAAGA